RNAcentral lists this long non-coding RNA (2905 nucleotides) under Cricetulus griseus (Chinese hamster). Its description in RNAcentral is "lncRNA (ENSCGRG00015039935.1)". The record is from RNAcentral. Lineage: Eukaryota; Metazoa; Chordata; Mammalia; Rodentia; Cricetidae.
CUUCCUUCUCCAGCAGCAGGAUGUGAUCCACCAACAAGGAGGGACUCCAAUAAGGCCUCUGAUAAGCCACAGGUUUGUGUAGUCCUCACCCCUCAUUGAAAGUGCUUCUCUGCAACAGAGUGAAACUAUUACAUGAAACCACAACAAACAAAACUGCAGUGUCGUGGAAUCCAGUCACAAAGGCAACAUCUACAAAACAACUGCUUCCACCUGUGGCUCCAGGAACACUUGGAAAGAGGAGAGAAGAAACUGGACUAAAUUAUACUCAAACUGAAGUCCAGUAAACGUUAGAAAUCUGAGACUCACUUGUCUUCUGGGCUCCAAAGCCCGAGGCAGCCCUCCUUCCCUGCCUCUGUCAUCCACAGCACAUGCAGAUACUCUCAGGCCACCACCUCUCCACACCUGCCGCUGCUGUCCCUUGUGCCCAUCCCAUACCACUGGAAUCCCCAAAAUGUUGGAACUUGUGCUGCAAAUGGGCUGCACCAUCUCCAAAAGCCUCUCCUGAGAGCUGUAUAGAGACCCUGACCUUGGCCCAUGAACAAGGUGUAGCUUUUGUAUCCUCUGGACCACAGCAUCUGUGGUUUGAUCCUGAGGAAACGCUUCCUGGAAGAUUUCACGCCAAUGAUGCUGGUCUGUUCUUAAUCACAGCUCAUACUUCAGCUUCAGCAGAUGUCCCAACACAGCCACCAUCUCACUUUGAUAAUUCUGGUCUCCUGUUAAUUUCAACUGAUUCUUCAGCACCAGGUGACCACAGACUCUUAAUUUGAAAUAUCAAAUGGUUAUGCUGGAGGAGUCCUUAAAGAAUUCUCAGAACUUCCUUUUAAAACUUCACAAGCUAGGACUCCCCUCAUCAGCAGCAUUGACAGUACUCUCAGAAUUAUCUUCUCAGUUUCCGUAAUUGCUUAUUAGACUCUGUACACUCAUUGGCUUUUCCAGGUCACAUUUUCAAAGUCCUUCCUGACUCCUCCAGUGCAAGGUUGUCAGACCUGUCACAGAAUUCUCCCACAAACCUGGUACAAAUUACCAUAUUCAGGUUUCUAUUGCUGUGAUAAAAUAUUCUGUCCAAAGUCACUUGGGGAGGAAAGGAUACAUUUCCUCUUACAAAUCCCAGGUUAUAUCAUACCACCACUGAGUGAAGUCAAGAGCAAGAACUCUAUGCUAAAACCUGGAGACAGAACCUGAAGUGGAAGACAUGGAGGAAUUCUGCUGAUCAGCUUGUUUGACCUGCUUUUUUACAUAACCCAGGACCACCUACCCAGAAGGAGGCAAUACCUACAGUGGAUGGACCCUCCCACAUCAAUCAUUAAUCAAGAAAACAUCUCACUGAUUUGUCCAUAAGCCAAUCUUAUGGACUCAUUUUUUAACACAACUAAUAAAAGACCCAGACACAGGUAUUGGGGUUCAAGCAUCAAAAUGAAGAUCACAGAAGAAAAGCAGCCAAGACAGUAGCACUUACCUCAGGCUGAAAGGACUGAUCCUGUCUCAAUGAGCUCUCCACCAAGCCUCAGAUUGCUGCCUCUUCUCAGUGUGGUGGAGAAUGAAUGCUUUCCUCUCCUCAAUAUGACUGGAGAAUGACUGCCAGCUCUGAGCUCCUGUUCCUGUCUUAAAUGCCUUUCAUGAAUGCUGGGAUUAAAGGCAUGAACUCUGUUACUCUUUUAGGCUGAUUCAACCUCAUAUAGCCCUGUGUGGCCUUGAACUCAGAGAUAUCCAUCUGCCUUUGUCUCAGGAGUCCUGGCAUUAAAGCUGUGUGCUACACCUGCCUGGCUUUUAUGGCUUACUAGUAUGGCUGCUUUACUAUUUUGAUCACUACUGGCUUUAAUAAAUCAUAAACAAUGUAUUCCCACACAUUUUCUCAAUUAUGAUUCUCUCUGCCCAGACAUGUCAAGGUUUGUGUUAAUUAAAACCAAUCAGGAAAUGGACCUUUGCACAAACAGUUCUACAUUCUACCACAGAGACAUUUGCACUUCCGUGAUUACUGCAGCAUUGUUUCAACAGCAAGGGACACAAACAGUUUAUAGACACUCAGCAACACAUGGAUGGAUAAUGAAAUGUCCCGCAUAUACACAACAGAAUAUUAUCCAUGUAUAAAGAAAAAUAAAAUGAUAUUUAGUGGAAGAUAGGUGAAUCUUGGAAGUAUUAAAUCAAGUGUUAUGAACCAGAGUCUAAAAAACAAACAUAAUAUGUUGUCUAAUUUUUAGCAAAUUAUGUAUAUGAAUGAGGUGAUUUGAAAGUAUUAAUGAGGGAAACAGAAGGAGAUGAGAGGUGCUGAAGAGGGAGAAUACAAAAGGACACUUGUGACAUGGAACUGGAAAUGCAACUGGGGGUGGCAGAGCACAAUGGUUAUAGGAGAUAUGUCAGAAAAGCGGAAAGAACAAUUAACAAUUUUCAAAAAUCUGCCAAAAUGAAAUGUAUGUUAGUAAAAACAAAUUAAAAAUGAAAAAAGUAUUUUAUUUUUCCUUGUCACUUUCACAACCCAGGAAUUUUUGUCUAAAGUACAUUUAAGCCAUUCCUUUGAGUAGAAAUUGCCAAAGAAAAUAAACCAAUGAGAUGACAGGAGCUGAACUUCAACAGUACCAAUUAACAAACACAAAUGAGCAAAUCAUAUUGACCACCUUCCAAUGCUGCAGUAAGAAUUAGAUAUCAGAACUCUGGCCUAUUUCUGUAAGGGGGGGGGUGAGUUGAAUCUUUCCUACAUAUUGAAAUCAACUGAAAUGGUUUUCUUCCCUCCUUAGAUUAUCUUAAUUUUUCUUUAGCAUUACCAUGUUUUGUUUUUUGUGAUAGUAAAUAAUCACAGGGAGAUGUGUACUUUACUUUCAAAUGGUGUACAAAGAAAUAGCCCCAGGGACAUUUUCUGAGUAAAAUUUGUAAAUAGUGUUUACUAUGUAAAGACAAAAUUAUAAUAAGC